GAUCCAGCUUGGAAAUCUUCAGUUAUCAUGAAAAUCUUCAAAUGAGGAGCAAACCAUUUCUCUCCAAAUGGCAGAUAAUAAGAUGUUCUAGAAUGAGACAGCAUUUUGAAAGUAUAUAUAUGGAAUGAUAGCUCCAUGAAUGUUAACUGAUGUUUUACCAAAAAAAGUCUCAUAAUCAAGUGCUUUGUGGGACUGGUGUUCCAAAGACUAAGUGAAACACACUGUCUGAGAUGUCAUUCCUGUCCUCUAAGGUUCUGUAGUCUGGAUUUGCACUGUCUAAUAUCAUAGCCACUAGCCACAUAUGGCUCUUGAUCACUGGAAAUGCAGCUAGUCUGAAUUGAGAUAUGCUAUUAGCCCUGAGCUAAUAUCUGAUGCCAAUCCUCCUCUUUUUGCUGAGGAAGAUUGGCCCUGGGCUAACAUCCAUGCCCAUCUUCCUCUGUUUUAUAUGGGACAUGGCCACAGGAUGGCUUGACAAGCGGUGCAUUGGUGCACACCUGGGAUCCAAAGCUGCGAAUCCUGGCUGCUGAAGUGGAGUGUGUGCACUUAACUAUUACGCCACUGCGGUGGCUCCCCCUCCCCUUUUUUUUUAUAGCCAUCCUAGUGGGUGUGUAAUGGUAUUUCAUUGGGUUUUUGAUUUUCAUUUCCCUAGAGACUGAUGAUGUUGAGCAUCUU
Long non-coding RNA from Diceros bicornis minor, 672 nucleotides. RefSeq lists it as uncharacterized. The record is from RefSeq and is a predicted model, not a curated record. The transcript is spliced from 3 exons. NCBI's taxonomy places the organism in Eukaryota, Metazoa, Chordata, Mammalia, Perissodactyla, Rhinocerotidae.